This 392-nucleotide unclassified non-coding RNA is filed under the name soil metagenome. Its description in RNAcentral is "partial contains 5.8S ribosomal RNA, internal transcribed spacer 2, and large subunit ribosomal RNA". The stretch from base 3 to 122 matches the Rfam family "5.8S ribosomal RNA", at positions 37 to 154 of the family's 154-position model. The record is from RNAcentral.
GGUGAAGAACGUAGCGAAAUGCGAUACUUGGUGUGAAUUGCAGAAUCCCGUGAACCAUCGAGUCUUUGAACGCAAGUUGCGCCCGAAGCCAUCAGGUUGAGGGCACGUCUGCCUGGGCGUCACAUAUCGUUGGUCGAUGCCUAUCGCAUUGCGAUAGGACUUAGGGCGAAUGAUGGCUUCCCGUGAGCGUUGUUGCCUCGCGGUUGGUUGAAAAUCGAGUCCUUGGUAGGGUGUGCCAUGAUAGAUGGUGGUCGAGUUAGCACGAGACUGAUCAUGUGCAUGCUCCCCAAAAUAUGGCCUCUGUGACCCACACGCGUCUUUUGACGCUCAUGACGAGACCUCAGGUCAGGCGGGGCUACCCGCUGAAUUUAAGCAUAUCAAUAAGCGGAGGA